Molecule: ribosomal RNA, 433 nt
Filed under: uncultured bacterium
Lineage: Bacteria
Description: partial 16S ribosomal RNA
Rfam family: Bacterial small subunit ribosomal RNA
Source: RNAcentral
AAAGAAGGCGGGGGGCAUGCCUAACACAUGCAAGUCGAACGAGACCUUCGGGUCUAGUGGCGCACGGGUGCGUAACGCGUGGGAACCUGCCCUUAGGUUCGGAAUAACUCCCCGAAAGGGGUGCUAAUACCGGAUAAUGUCUUCGGACCAAAGAUUUAUCGCCUUUGGAUGGGCCCGCGUUGGAUUAGCUAGUUGGUAGGGUAAAAGCCUACCAAGGCGACGAUCCAUAGCUGGUCUGAGAGGAUGAUCAGCCACACUGGGACUGAGACACGGCCCAGACUCCUACGGGAGGCAGCAGUGGGGAAUAUUGGACAAUGGGCGAAAGCCUGAUCCAGCAAUGCCGCGUGAGUGAUGAAGGCCUUAGGGUUGUAAAGCUCUUUUACCCGGGAUGAUAAUGACAGUACCGGGAGAAUAAGCUCCGGCUAACUCCGUG